CGGUAAUACGUAGGUGGCAAGCGUUGUCCGGAAUGAUUGGGCGUAAAGGGAGCGCAGGUGGGAAAGUAAGUCCCUCUUAAAAGUUCGGGGCUCAACCCCGUGAUGGGAGAGAAACUACAUUUCUUGAGUGCAGGAGAGGAAAGCGGAAUUCCUAGUGUAGCGGUGAAAUGCGUAGAUAUUAGGAGGAACACCAGUGGCGAAGGCGGCUUUCUGGACUGUAACUGACACUGAGGCUCGAAAGCCAGGGGAGCGAACGGGAUUAGAUACCCCGGUAGUCCUGGCCGUAAACGAUGGAUACUAGGUGUGGGANGUAUCGACCCCUUCCGUGCCGGANUUAACGCAAUAAGUAUCCCGCCUGGGGAGUACGGUCGCAAGACUGAAACUCAAAGGAAUUGACGGGAACCCCACAACCACCGNACAUGUGGUUAAUUC
Molecule: ribosomal RNA, 432 nt
Filed under: uncultured bacterium
Lineage: Bacteria
Description: bacterial SSU rRNA
Rfam family: Bacterial small subunit ribosomal RNA
Source: RNAcentral